AGCCGGGUCCUGCGCAAUAGCGGCUUGCGAAUCCCGCCAGGUCCGGGAGGAAGCAACGGUAGCGAGUACCGUUAUGUGUUCCAGGGGUGCCCGGCUAUC
RNAcentral lists this signal recognition particle RNA (99 nucleotides) under Pseudomonadota bacterium. RNAcentral describes it as "Proteobacteria bacterium (groundwater metagenome) signal recognition particle sRNA small type". It matches the Rfam family "Bacterial small signal recognition particle RNA". From Rfam's summary of the family: The signal recognition particle (SRP) is a universally conserved ribonucleoprotein involved in the co-translational targeting of proteins to membranes. Archaeal SRP consists of a 7S RNA and homologues of the eukaryotic SRP19 and SRP54 proteins. The record is from RNAcentral. Lineage: Bacteria; Pseudomonadati; Pseudomonadota.